AUGGCCCCGCGGUGCAUUAGCUAGUUGGCAAGGUAAAGGCUUACCAAGGGCGAUGAUGCAUAGCCCGAGUUGAGAGACUGAUCGGCCACAUUGGGGACUGAGACACGGCCCAAACUCCUACGGGAGGCAGCAGUAGGGAAUCUUCCACAAUGGACGCAAGUCUGAUGGAGCAAAUGCCGCGUGAGUGAAGAAGGUUUUCGGAUCGUAAAAAGCUCUGUUGUUGGUGAAGAAGGAUAGGAGGUAGUAACUGGUCCCUUUAUUUGACGGUAAUCAACCAGAAAGUCACGGGCUAACUACGUGCCCAGCAGCCGCGGUAAAU
This 319-nucleotide ribosomal RNA is filed under the name uncultured Lactobacillus sp. RNAcentral describes it as "bacterial SSU rRNA". It matches the Rfam family "Bacterial small subunit ribosomal RNA", at positions 225 to 525 of the family's 1533-position model. The record is from RNAcentral. Lineage: Bacteria; Bacillati; Bacillota; Bacilli; Lactobacillales; Lactobacillaceae.